Molecule: ribosomal RNA, 279 nt
Filed under: uncultured bacterium
Lineage: Bacteria
Description: partial 16S ribosomal RNA
Rfam family: Bacterial small subunit ribosomal RNA
Source: RNAcentral
UGCCAGCCGCCGCGGUAAUACGGAGGGAGCUAGCGUUAUUCGGAAUUACUGGGCGUAAAGCGCGUGUAGGCGGACCAGCAAGUCAGGUGUGAAAUCCCUGGGCUCAACCUAGGAACUGCAUCUGAAACUGCUGGUCUUGAGUGUCGGAGAGGGAAGCGGAAUUCCAGGUGUAGAGGUGAAAUUCGUAGAUAUCUGGAGGAACACCGGUGGCGAAGGCGGCUUCCUGGACGACUACUGACGCUGAGACGCGAAAGCGUGGGGAGCAAACAGGAUUAGAUA